GACGAACGCUGGCGGCGUGCCUAAUACAUGCAAGUAGAACGCACAGUUUAUACCGUAGCUUGCUACACCAUAGACUGUGAGUUGCGAACGGGUGAGUAACGCGUAGGUAACCUGCCUUGUAGCGGGGGAUAACUAUUGGAAACGAUAGCUAAUACCGCAUAAUAUUGAUUAUUGCAUGAUAAUUGAUUGAAAGAUGCUAUUGCAUCACUACCAGAUGGACCUGCGUUGUAUUAGCUAGUAGGUGAGGUAACGGCUCACCUAGGCGACGAUACAUAGCCGACCUGAGAGGGUGAGCGGCCACACUGGGACUGAGACACGGCCCAGACUCCGACGGGAGGCAGCAGUAGGGAAUCGUCGGCAAUGGACGAAAGUCUGACCGAGCAACGCCGCGUGAGUGAAGAAGGUUUUCGGAUCGUAAAGCUCUGUUGUAAGAGAAGAACGGGUGUGAGAGUGGAAAGUUCACACUGUGACGGUAUCUUACCAGAAAGGGACGGCUAACUACGUG
Molecule: ribosomal RNA, 505 nt
Filed under: uncultured bacterium
Lineage: Bacteria
Description: partial 16S ribosomal RNA
Rfam family: Bacterial small subunit ribosomal RNA
Source: RNAcentral